GUGGGGAAUCUUGCGCAAUGGGCGAAAGCCUGACGCAGCCAUGCCGCGUGAAUGAUGAAGGUCUUAGGAUUGUAAAAUUCUUUCACCGGGGACGAUAAUGACGGUACCCGGAGAAGAAGCCCCGGCUAACUUCGUGCCAGCAGCCGCGGUAAUACGAAGGGGGCUAGCGUUGCUCGGAAUUACUGGGCGUAAAGGGCGCGUAGGCGGACAGUUUAGUCAGAGGUGAAAGCCCAGGGCUCAACCUUGGAAUUGCCUUUGAUACUGGCUGUCUUGAGUACGGGAGAGGUGAGUGGAACUCCGAGUGUAGAGGUGAAAUUCGUAGAUAUUCGGAAGAACACCAGUGGCGAAGGCGACUCACUGGCCCAAUACUGACGCUGAGGCGCGAAAGCGUGGGGAGCAAACAGGAUUAGAAACCCCGGUAGUCC
RNAcentral lists this ribosomal RNA (425 nucleotides) under uncultured bacterium. Its description in RNAcentral is "bacterial SSU rRNA". It matches the Rfam family "Bacterial small subunit ribosomal RNA", at positions 354 to 796 of the family's 1533-position model. The record is from RNAcentral.